RNAcentral lists this non-coding RNA (215 nucleotides) under pig gut metagenome. The record is from RNAcentral.
UAACACAAUUCAAUCAAUCAUUAUCUAGCUUCACCGAUACAAGAUACCUGUUGAUAACCUUGUGAUUUAUUUAGAUCGUAGUAUUUCCUAACCAGAUAACUGAUUUCGCAUAAUCUAUAUUAUGUUAAAUAAUUAAUUACAAAAAGUCACUUUUGUGAGAAGGGCUACUCUUGCGAUUUAUUUUGUUGUGAGAAUAUUUAUUUUUUAUAUUUAAU